CCUACGGGCGGCAGCAGUGAGGGAUAUUGGUCAAUGGGGGAAACCCUGAACCAGCAACGCCGCGUGAGGGAAGACGGUUUUCGGAUUGUAAACCUCUAUCCUCAGGGAAGAUAAUGACGGUAGCUGAGGAAGAAGCUCCGGCUAACUACGUGCCAGCAGCCGCGGUAAUACGUAGGGGGCAAGCGUUGUCCGGAUUUACUGGGUGUAAAGGGUGCGUAGGCGGCAUUGCAAGUCAGAAGUGAAAUCCAUGGGCUUAACCCGGGAACUGCUUUUGAAACUGUAGGGCUGGAGUGAAGUAGAGGCAGGUGGAAUUCCUGGUGUAGCGGUGAAAUGCGUAGAGAUUGGGAGGAACACCAGUGGCGAAGGCGGCCUGCUGGGCUGUAACUGACGCUGAAGCACGAAAGCGUGGGUAGCAAACAGGAUUAGAUACCCGAGUAGUC
This 440-nucleotide ribosomal RNA is filed under the name uncultured bacterium. RNAcentral describes it as "partial 16S ribosomal RNA". It matches the Rfam family "Bacterial small subunit ribosomal RNA", at positions 338 to 795 of the family's 1533-position model. The record is from RNAcentral.